ACACUUAGCUCAAGGAACCCGCCGGGCAAGGUCGGACUUAGACCAAGCACGUGCGGUUCAGCGGUUAGUUCCGGGUGCACUGUCACACGAUCCUAUUUGGGAUCAGGAGGGAGGUCGGCAUCGGAGGAGGAGGGGGCAGAGGCAGCGGCAGCGUAAGACGACCGAGGGCCAAACGAGGGGCGGGACUCCGACGACGCCGAGGGACGGAGCGCGCGGCAGUAGUCCUUUUACAGCAGUUUAUGACUUCCUGGGUUCUCAGUACGUGCAUCUCUGGAAAACGAGUUCUAGGUUAGUCUACGAGUUUGAACGACCCUCCUCUCGUUCCAAAAAGUCCGACUUGGACCGUUACCUGGAGGACCGGGACCACUUUUUAAGAAACCGUUAAAAGGCAUGGGAAUGUACUUACCUAACGAUGUAGACCCAGUGCGGAAGAGUGAUAGGUUCGAACUCAAGCCACGACGUAUGGUGUCUGAGGCACCGAGCUUACAGGAAAACGGCAAACGAAAAGUAACAUGACCCUACGGGUAGUUCCGGAGUCGACUAUUCGAACGAUCCCUCUAAGUUGUCAUACCUUUAGGAGGUCACAAGGGACGUCGUCUCCUACUAAGUUCACGAGUUCACCGUCUACUAUCGGUCCGACUGGUCCGACGAGAACGGGGUCCCGUUAAAUUCUCAUUCUUUAGAUUCCGACGACGUUUCUGGCCGUACGUCUUCAAGGUCACCCUCUAGUACUUCCCGAAACUUGACUGUCUACUUUUUUAGCGGUUUAAAGUCCUAGGCAGAGUGACCAACUGGGUGAAGGGAGGCGACCGUUUCCUUCUAGAAUUCCUAAAACCGGACCCAACACUAACCUCCGCGAGUAAGUAUUGGUGACUAUACUUAGGAAAGAUACUACGAAAACAAGCGACCGUCUACUCCUUCGACUUCUUUUACCCGUUUCAACAGUUCCUAUACUCCAUGUGCUAGAUGAGUGGUGACCUACCGGUUGGAACACGACUAGUACUAUCCCGUAGUCCACUUCCACACGUCGGUGUUCUUAUGCACAACUAAUUUUACUACCACUAGGGUGGAAAAGGGGGGUUCAACUUCCAGAACCUUCCUUUCUUACAAAUAGACCGUCGACGAUGUAAUUCUGGACUCUGUUACAUACCCGUUUGUUUGACAACCCAUAACGGACUACCCUAAAUACCCCGAAAACUCUAGUUACUUUGACUACAGAAGUAACACUGUCGUUCCAGUCGGGAAUUAGAACGUAUAGUCGUAGAUAGGUCCCAGGGUCUUUUCGGGUGGACGAAUCGACUCGAAUGACCGUUACUAAACUAACCCAACGGUAAUUUCAGAGGAGAAAGUAAGUUACUUUAGUAUAUACGUGAAGGGUACGAGUGCUAGAACUGUCUAUUUCCAUGACCGUGGCACUGAUCACACGGUUCACUAAGGGGUCUACUAAUGUACCGUGACGUUCUAAAUUAGUGUUUCGGACGAAACUCUGUCUUCAUACCCCAGGUUCUACUCACCCAAGAAGGUAAAUUAUAGUAUGGUUAUUAGUUGUAUGGACUCAAACCCCUAUUCAGUCGACUCUUCCACACGGAACUAGAAUUCUAAUUCUCGGUCUUACUGUUCCUCUUCGAACGACUUCGUUUUUCCUACUGUAUGGAAUUUCCUAAAUGACUACCUCACUACUAACGUCCCCUCAAACUACCAUCUUUCCAAGUUCUUCGCUUCGGUGACUAUUUCUUAUUCGAAGAACCUCUUCCGAGACGACACAACAUAUCACUCGGACUCUUCUUUCAGUACAGUUCUAGGCCGCUACUCACACAGCAACGAGAAUGUCUAGUCACCAUGUAUUGAAUGCCGCUUUGACUUACCUUCGUCUUCCGUCAGUUUACAAACCUUUUAUACUUAUGUAAGAGUCGACUUUGGGCAUUGCCUAAGCUUGUGUGCAACCCGACCGACUUGGUCACCCGUACAAGAGCGAGAAAACCGGAUCCAUGAGCGUAAGGUACCCUACUCGUCAAGGACCAUCUUAGAGAAAGUCUAAGUUGGGACAUGUACCGAAUAAUGUGGUAACGUGUAGUAAAUGUUUUACCAUUGUACAUACCUCUUCUUUAUAGAAGAUAGUUCGGACUUCUUAACUGUCUACUUCAUACCCUUAUACACAAGACACUACCAGGUCGUGGGUUAUCGUCGUAGAGAGGACGGGAGAACUCGUUUUACUUCGUUCUCAAGUUCAUAACCAUGGGGAAACUAUAAGCCCAUAGUCCCUUCCUGGAAUAGGUCUUGGUAGACUGUAAGUCGUAGAUGUUAGUAUGUCGUGAAGAAGGUCUCGUAGUAACCGGAGCACCAAAAGCAACGUUACCCGUAGAAUACGAAUUGAGACUCUUCUACAGGUUCAGGUGUCCCUUGAAGGAUUGAGAAUUCCUCCGAUAAGAUUCUAUAAGGAGCCUACGGUGAUCCAAACGGGAACGACUACGACCGCUACCAUACCUGCUACGUUUGAAACAAUGACUUUGACGUUUACGACGAUAAAACUCCGAAUGUUUCCUUUAGCGUACCUACCUUCUUCAAUAUCGACGACUUAGAAGAAACUCUCCGCCAGGAGGGAGAUGAAUACGACUGGUACACAAACGAUUACUCUAGUUGUAACGACAUUUUCUUUGACUCUUCUCGAUGUUACGGAAGUACAAGUCUCUACGGGACUUCAGACCAAAGAUACUGGAUGUUGACCGAUCUCUACUCAUGUCUGAGAGAACACCUCGCCGCCCGUACUUGGCACUCAACAACCCCGCCAAAUACCUUUAGGUCUGGUUCGAAUAGUGGGGCUAGACAGGGGUGAUACGACUCGUACACACCGUUUUCUAAGACUUCUUCCUUCCAAAACGUUAUUUUCGACCGACCGGUCAACGUCCGUGGGGCCUAGGAUGAGAUUCUUCACGCUUGUUUAUGAACGUCCUGAGGUAACAAAAUUACUCUUUCAACGAAGUCUUCGUCCUCAGACCAAGGUUCUUUGGGUUCUUCCCUCGACGUGGAUGAGGUAGUCGUCUUUUGUUCGAGUGUCAACCAGACUAUAUACAGUUACUCGUGAUACUACCUACCUUUCUCGUUACAAACUCCCACGAAGUUAGUUUAAAACUAUCGGUUCGUGCGAGGAAACGGGGACUGCUCCUCUAAUUGCUUCGUAACUCCUUGACGAAGUAGCUGGCACUUUGUUCAAAGUUUGUUCAUGUCUUCGAGACGUACGGAAAGUAGUCCAAGUUCUUUCUACUUCGUUCCUUACAACCAGGGGUCCGAGAUUUAAACUUCGAAGGAAAACCACUUUAUUUACACGAACUCCUCUUGGACCUCGACUAGUCUUCCGUCAACCCAGAACUCGUACAACUCCAGGACAGCCGUAAACUACCUCGACGAGCACGGUUUCGACCUUUCGUACGAAGAGACGACCUGUUCUUAGGCGGAAGGGGACCACUCGGCCAACGUUAUAAGUACUCGUUCGUCCUCAAACUUCGCGUCUUAAUUCGGGUCUAAUUAGAAGAGUGUCUUGAAACAACUCCACAAAACGUUCCGCACCAUAGCUGACCAACAACGAGGACAACUAAGAUCGUACUCCGCGGAUAACCCUUUUACCUUUCCUCGGAAAAGAGGUCGAACUGACGUCUACUAACUCUUCCUUAAACCAAAGGUUCGAAAACGGUCAAAACAAAGAAAAAUCUACACCUACGUCUCUACCGUUCACGUCUUAUGUUCCUCAUAAGAACGAAAAUAUAUGUCGUUACAGAUCAAACAAAUGAACGGUUUCAACACUGUAUAAGGACCGUGAACUAGUGUAUGAGGUACUAUAUAACAAAGACGACUUUACAAGUCACUGGUAUCAUUACGACAAUACGACAGUCAAAAAAAUCUACACAGUAACAGCUACAC
Molecule: ribosomal RNA, 3915 nt
Filed under: Triticum aestivum (bread wheat)
Lineage: Eukaryota; Viridiplantae; Streptophyta; Magnoliopsida; Poales; Poaceae
Description: partial small subunit ribosomal RNA
Source: RNAcentral